Molecule: transfer RNA, 85 nt
Filed under: Bacteroidota bacterium
Lineage: Bacteria; Pseudomonadati; Bacteroidota
Also listed under: 1 other name
Description: Bacteroidetes bacterium (marine metagenome) tRNA-Leu
Rfam family: tRNA
About the family: Transfer RNA (tRNA) molecules are approximately 80 nucleotides in length.
Source: RNAcentral
GCCCAGGUGGCGGAAUUGGUAGACGCGCUAGGUUGAGGGCCUAGUGCCUGUUUUGGGCGUAGGGGUUCGACUCCCCUCUUGGGCA